GGAUCAGUGCUGGGGUGGAGGGUGCUGCUGCAGGUGAUUGGUGCUGCCUGUAGCUACAGUAUAGUGCACCCAUUGAAUCUGGAGGCUCCGUCUGCCCCUGGGAGCUGUACCCUGAUCUAGCCAGGCUUGGCUGGAGGCAAAAUGGGGGAGGGGUAGACAUCCUCACUGCAGAGAUUGAAGCCGAUGUCGAUGUGGCUGAGGAGUCCUGAUCAGAUGGGGUGAUUGUCAGGCUCCAGGCUGUAUAUCUGCUCUAUCGUUGCACAUACAAGAUUGCAGUCGUGCCAGACGAAAUACGUUUCUCAGCUUGAAGGAUUGCUACCUGAAUAAUAGCUAGAAGCGAGAACAAGUGCGCACAUAUGAGGGGCAUGUUUGGACAUUAACUCUUCUAAUCCUGUGCUCUACUUGAGGUUGUGCUACAUGUUCUGAACAUGUAGUAGCCAUGAAGUGCUAUGUCCUUAGAUUUAUGUCUAUAUGCUGACAAACUGAAGGACCAGUGUUUAUUUCUGCUAUCAUCAAGGAUCACUGGAUGCAUGAAUAAUGCAUGACUGGAGCAACCAUCUUCUCUGGGGUGUCCGUGCAGUAAGCAGCAGAGAAGCACAUACCCUCCAGCCUUAUUCCUUUGAAUAAUUUUUGAUGAGUUAUGAUUAA
This is a long non-coding RNA of Mauremys reevesii (Reeves's turtle), 648 nucleotides long. RefSeq lists it as uncharacterized. The transcript is spliced from 2 exons. The record is from RefSeq and is a predicted model, not a curated record. Lineage: Eukaryota; Metazoa; Chordata; Testudines; Geoemydidae.